GACGAACGCUGGCGGCGUGCUUAACACAUGCAAGUCGAACGGAAAGGCCCUGCUUUUGUGGGGUGCUCGAGUGGCGAACGGGUGAGUAACACGUGAGUAACCUGCCCUUGACUUUGGGAUAACUUCAGGAAACUGGAGCUAAUACCGGAUAGGAGCUCCUGCUGCAUGGUGGGGGUUGGAAAGUUUCAGCGGUUGGGGCUGGACUCGCGGCUUACCAGCUUGUUGGUGGGGUAGUGGCUUACCAAGGGUUUGACGGGUAGCCGGCCUGAGAGGGUGACCGGCCACAUUGGGACUGAGAUACGGCCCAGACUCCUACGGGAGGCAGCAGUGGGGAAUAUUACACAAUGGGCGGAAGCCUGAUGCAGCGACGCCGCGUGCGGGAUGACGGCCUUCGGGUUGUAAACCGCUUUCGCCUGUGACGCAGCGUGAGUGGCGGUAAUGGGUAAAGAAGCACCGGCUAACUACGUG
Molecule: ribosomal RNA, 468 nt
Filed under: uncultured bacterium
Lineage: Bacteria
Description: partial 16S ribosomal RNA
Rfam family: Bacterial small subunit ribosomal RNA
Source: RNAcentral